CAUGCAAGUCGAACGAUGAUUAUCUAGCUUGCUNGAUAUGAUUAGUGGCGGACGGGUGAGUAACAUUUAGGAAUCUGCCUAGUAGUGGGGGAUAGCUCGGGGAAACUCGAAUUAAUACCGCAUACGACCUACGGGUGAAAGGGGGCGCAAGCUCUUGCUAUUAGAUGAGCCUAAAUCAGAUUAGCUAGUUGGUGGGGUAAAGGCCCACCAAGGCGACGAUCUGUAACUGGUCUGAGAGGAUGAUCAGUCACACCGGAACUGAGACACGGUCCGGACUCCUACGGGAGGCAGCAGUGGGGAAUAUUGGACAAUGGGGGCAACCCUGAUCCAGCCAUGCCGCGUGUGUGAAGAAGGCCUUUUGGUUGUAAAGCACUUUAAGCAGGGAGGAGAGGCUAAUGGUUAAUACCCAUUAGAUUAGACGUUACCUGCAGAAUAAGCACCGGGCUAACUCUGUGCCAGCAGCCGCGGUAAUACAGAGGGUGCGAGCGUUAAUCGGAAUUACUGGGCGUAAAGCGAGUGUAGGUGGCUCAUUAAGUCACAUGUGAAAUCCCCGGGCUUAACCUGGGAACUGCAUGUGAUACUGGUGGUGCUAGAAUAUGUGAGAGGGAAGUAGAAUUCCAGGUGUAGCGGUGAAAUGCGUAGAGAUCUGGAGGAAUACCGAUGGCGAAGGCAGCUUCCUGGCAUAAUAUUGACACUGAGAUUCGAAAGCGUGGGUAGCAAACAGGAUUAGAUACCCUGGUAGUCCACGCCGUAAACGAUGUCUACUAGCCGUUGGGGUCCUUGAGACUUUAGUGGCGCAGUUAACGCGAUAAGUAGACCGCCUGGGGAGUACGGCCGCAAGGUUAAAACUCAAAUGAAUUGACGGGGGCCCGCACAAGCGGUGGAGCAUGUGGUUUAAUUCGAUGCAACGCGAAGAACCUUACCUGGUCUUGACAUAGUGAGAAUCCUGCAGAGAUGCGGGAGUGCCUUCGGGAAUUCACAUACAGGUGCUGCAUGGCUGUCGUCAGCUCGUGUCGUGAGAUGUUGGGUUAAGUCCCGCAACGAGCGCAACCCUUUUCCUUAUUUGCCAGCGGGUUAAGCCGGGAACUUUAAGGAUACUGCCAGUGACAAACUGGAGGAAGGCGGGGACGACGUCAAGUCAUCAUGGCCCUUACGACCAGGGCUACACACGUGCUACAAUGGUAGGUACAGAGGGUUGCUACACAGCGAUGUGAUGCUAAUCUCAAAAAGCCUAUCGUAGUCCGGAUUGGAGUCUGCAACUCGACUCCAUGAAGUCGGAAUCGCUAGUAAUCGCAGAUCAGAAUGCUGCGGUGAAUACGUUCCCGGGCCUUGUACACACCGCCCGUCACACCAUGGGAGUCUAUUGCACCAGAAGUAGGUAGCCUAACGCAAGAGGGCGCU
RNAcentral lists this ribosomal RNA (1401 nucleotides) under Moraxella sp. BQN1N-01d. Its description in RNAcentral is "16S ribosomal RNA". It matches the Rfam family "Bacterial small subunit ribosomal RNA". The record is from RNAcentral. Lineage: Bacteria; Pseudomonadati; Pseudomonadota; Gammaproteobacteria; Moraxellales; Moraxellaceae.